AACGAACGCUGGCGGCAUGCCUAACACAUGCAAGUCGAACGAGACCUUCGGGUCUAGUGGCGCACGGGUGCGUAACGCGUGGGAACCUGCCCUUAGGUUCGGAAUAACUCCCCGAAAGGGGUGCUAAUACCGGAUAAUGUCUUCGGACCAACGAUUUAUCGCCUUUGGAUGGGCCCGCGUUGGAUUAGCUAGUUGGUAGGGUAAAAGCCUACCAAGGCGACGAUCGGUAGCUGGUCUGAGAGGAUGAUCGGCCACACUGGGACUGAGAUACGGCCCAGACUACUCCGGGAGGCAGCAGAGGGGAAGAUUGCACAAUGGGCGGAAGCAUGAUGCAGUAAAGCCGCGUGCGGGAUGACGGCAUUCGGGUUGUAAACCGAUUUCGCCUGUGACGAAGCGUGAGUGACGGUAAUGGGUAAAGAAGCACCGGCUAACUACGUG
This 438-nucleotide ribosomal RNA is filed under the name uncultured bacterium. Its description in RNAcentral is "partial 16S ribosomal RNA". It matches the Rfam family "Bacterial small subunit ribosomal RNA", at positions 29 to 507 of the family's 1533-position model. The record is from RNAcentral.